RNAcentral lists this ribosomal RNA (478 nucleotides) under uncultured bacterium. RNAcentral's name for it is "partial 16S ribosomal RNA". It matches the Rfam family "Bacterial small subunit ribosomal RNA", at positions 28 to 507 of the family's 1533-position model. The record is from RNAcentral.
GAUGAACGCUGGCGGCGUGCUUAACACAUGCAAGUCGAACGGGAAACCUUUUAUUGAAGCUUCGGCAGAUUUAGCUGGUUUCUAGUGGCGGACGGGUGAGUAACGCGUGGGUAACCUGCCUUAUACAGGGGGAUAACAGUCAGAAAUGGCUGCUAAUACCGCAUAAGCGCACAGAGCUGCAUGGCUCAGUGUGAAAAACUCCGGCGGUCUAAGAUGGACCCGCGUUGGAUUAGCUGGUUGGUGGGUUAACGGCCCACCAAGGCGACGAUCCAUAGCCGGCCUGGGAGGAUGCCCUGCCACAUUGGGAGCGAGACACGGCCAAGAACUGUAACGGAGGCAGUCGGGUGGAAUACUGGCCAAUGGGAGAAAGCUUGAGGCAGCCACGCUGAGUGAAGGAAGAAGUACCUCGGUACGCAGACUCUCAUCAGCAGGGAAGAUAAUGACGGUACCUUACCAAGAAGCCCCGGAUAACUACGUG